RNAcentral lists this ribosomal RNA (1359 nucleotides) under Nocardia cyriacigeorgica. RNAcentral describes it as "bacterial SSU rRNA". It matches the Rfam family "Bacterial small subunit ribosomal RNA", at positions 75 to 1447 of the family's 1533-position model. Lineage: Bacteria; Bacillati; Actinomycetota; Actinomycetes; Mycobacteriales; Nocardiaceae. The record is from RNAcentral.
GCCCUUCGGGGUACACGAGCGGCGAACGGGUGAGUAACACGUGGGUGAUCUGCCUCGCACUCUGGGAUAAGCCUGGGAAACUGGGUCUAAUACCGGAUAUGACCUUACAUCGCAUGGUGUUUGGUGGAAAGAUUUAUCGGUGCGAGAUGGGCCCGCGGCCUAUCAGCUUGUUGGUGGGGUAAUGGCCUACCAAGGCGACGACGGGUAGCCGGCCUGAGAGGGCGACCGGCCACACUGGGACUGAGACACGGCCCAGACUCCUACGGGAGGCAGCAGUGGGGAAUAUUGCACAAUGGGCGAAAGCCUGAUGCAGCGACGCCGCGUGAGGGAUGACGGCCUUCGGGUUGUAAACCUCUUUCGACAGGGACGAAGCGCAAGUGACGGUACCUGUAGAAGAAGCACCGGCCAACUACGUGCCAGCAGCCGCGGUAAUACGUAGGGUGCGAGCGUUGUCCGGAAUUACUGGGCGUAAAGAGCUUGUAGGCGGCUUGUCGCGUCGAUCGUGAAAACUUGGGGCUCAACCCCAAGCUUGCGGUCGAUACGGGCAGGCUUGAGUACUUCAGGGGAGACUGGAAUUCCUGGUGUAGCGGUGAAAUGCGCAGAUAUCAGGAGGAACACCGGUGGCGAAGGCGGGUCUCUGGGAAGUAACUGACGCUGAGAAGCGAAAGCGUGGGUAGCGAACAGGAUUAGAUACCCUGGUAGUCCACGCCGUAAACGGUGGGUACUAGGUGUGGGUUUCCUUCCACGGGAUCCGUGCCGUAGCUAACGCAUUAAGUACCCCGCCUGGGGAGUACGGCCGCAAGGCUAAAACUCAAAGGAAUUGACGGGGGCCCGCACAAGCGGCGGAGCAUGUGGAUUAAUUCGAUGCAACGCGAAGAACCUUACCUGGGUUUGACAUACACCGGAAACCUGCAGAGAUGUAGGCCCCCUUGUGGUCGGUGUACAGGUGGUGCAUGGCUGUCGUCAGCUCGUGUCGUGAGAUGUUGGGUUAAGUCCCGCAACGAGCGCAACCCUUAUCUUAUGUUGCCAGCGCGUAAUGGCGGGGACUCGUGAGAGACUGCCGGGGUCAACUCGGAGGAAGGUGGGGACGACGUCAAGUCAUCAUGCCCCUUAUGUCCAGGGCUUCACACAUGCUACAAUGGCCGGUACAGAGGGCUGCGAUACCGUGAGGUGGAGCGAAUCCCUUAAAGCCGGUCUCAGUUCGGAUCGGGGUCUGCAACUCGACCCCGUGAAGUUGGAGUCGCUAGUAAUCGCAGAUCAGCAACGCUGCGGUGAAUACGUUCCCGGGCCUUGUACACACCGCCCGUCACGUCAUGAAAGUCGGUAACACCCGAAGCCGGUGGCCUAACCCCUUGUGGG